Octopus sinensis (East Asian common octopus) is the source of this 103-nucleotide long non-coding RNA. RefSeq lists it as uncharacterized. Lineage: Eukaryota; Metazoa; Mollusca; Cephalopoda; Octopoda; Octopodidae. The transcript has 3 exons. The record is from RefSeq and is a predicted model, not a curated record.
CACACACACACACACACACAUACACACACACACAGAAAAAAUAAUAAGCGAAACACAGACGCGCGACUGAGCUGGAGGUAGAUUUACUUCUGCCUUUAUAACA